RNAcentral lists this ribosomal RNA (468 nucleotides) under uncultured bacterium. RNAcentral's name for it is "partial 16S ribosomal RNA". It matches the Rfam family "Bacterial small subunit ribosomal RNA", at positions 28 to 507 of the family's 1533-position model. The record is from RNAcentral.
GACGAACGCUGGCGGCGUGCUUAACACAUGCAAGUCGAACGGAAAGGCCCUGCUUUUGUGGGGUGCUCGAGUGGCGAACGGGUGAGUAACACGUGAGUAACCUGCCCUUGACUUUGGGAUAACUUCAGGAAACUGGGGCUAAUACCGGAUAGGAGCUCCUGCUGCAUGGUGGUGGUUGGAAAGUUUCGGUGGUUUGGGAUGGACUCGGGGCUUAUCAGCUUGUUGGUGGGGUAGUGGCUUACCAAGGCUUUGACGGGUAGCCGGCCUGAGAGGGUGACCGGCCACAUUGGGACUGGGGUACGGCCCAGACGCCAACGGGAGGCAGCAGUGGGGAAUAGUGCGCAAUGGGCGGAAGCCGGAUACAGCAUCGCCGCGUGCUGGAUGACGGCCGUCGGGUUAUAAACCGCGUUCGCCUGUGACGAAGCGUGAGUGACGGUAAUGUGUAAAGAAGCACCGGCUAACUACGUG